GGAGAGAUGGCCGAGUGGCUUAAGGCGGCGGUCUUGAAAACCGUUGUGGGUGCAAGCCUACCGGGGGUUCGAAUCCCUCUCUCUCCGCCA
RNAcentral lists this transfer RNA (90 nucleotides) under Fluviispira sanaruensis. Its description in RNAcentral is "Silvanigrellales bacterium RF1110005 tRNA-Ser". It matches the Rfam family "tRNA". Rfam says of the family: Transfer RNA (tRNA) molecules are approximately 80 nucleotides in length. Their secondary structure includes four short double-helical elements and three loops (D, anti-codon, and T loops). Further hydrogen bonds mediate the characteristic L-shaped molecular structure. tRNAs have two regions of fundamental functional importance: the anti-codon, which is responsible for specific mRNA codon recognition, and the 3' end, to which the tRNAs corresponding amino acid is attached (by aminoacyl-tRNA synthetases). tRNAs cope with the degeneracy of the genetic code in two manners: having more than one tRNA (with a specific anti-codon) for a particular amino acid; and 'wobble' base-pairing, i.e. permitting non-standard base-pairing at the 3rd anti-codon position. Lineage: Bacteria; Pseudomonadati; Bdellovibrionota; Oligoflexia; Silvanigrellales; Silvanigrellaceae. The record is from RNAcentral.